CUUUUCGAGGUAGGAGUCGACUCCUGUGAGGUAUGGUGCUGGGUGCAGAUGCAGUGUGGCUCUGGAUAGCACCUUAUGGACAGUUGUGUCCCCAAGGAAGGAUGAGAAUAGCUACUGAAGUCCUAAAGAGCAAGCCUAACUCAAGCCAUUGGCACACAGGCAUUAGACAGAAAGCUGGAAGUUGAAAUGGUGGAGUCCAACUUGCCUGGACCAGCUUAAUGGUUCUGCUCCUGGUAACGUUUUUAUCCAUGGAUGACUUGCUUGGGUAUGGAGAGUCGGCUUGACUACACUGUGUGGAGCAAGUUUUAAAGAAGCAAAGGACUCAGAAUUCAUGAUUGAAGAAAUGCAGACCUGUUAUCCUAAACUAGGGUUUUUAAUGACCACAACAAGCAAGCAUGCAGCUUACUGCUUGAAAGGGUCUUGCCUCACCCAAGCUAGAGUGCAGUGGCCUUUGAAGCUUACUACAGCCUCAAACUUCUGGGCUCAAGUGAUCCUCAGCCUCCCAGUGGUCUUUGUAGACUGCCUGAUGGAGUCUCAUGGCACAAGAAGAUUAAAACAGUGUCUCCAAUUUUAAUAAAUUUUUGCAAUCCA
RNAcentral lists this long non-coding RNA (591 nucleotides) under Homo sapiens (human). RNAcentral describes it as "growth arrest specific 5, transcript variant 44 (GAS5)". The record is from RNAcentral. Lineage: Eukaryota; Metazoa; Chordata; Mammalia; Primates; Hominidae.